Molecule: ribosomal RNA, 500 nt
Filed under: uncultured bacterium
Lineage: Bacteria
Description: partial 16S ribosomal RNA
Rfam family: Bacterial small subunit ribosomal RNA
Source: RNAcentral
AUUGAACGCUGGCGGAAUGCUUUACACAUGCAAGUCGAACGGCAGCACGGACUUCGGUCUGGUGGCGAGUGGCGAACGGGUGAGUAAUACAUCGGAACGUGCCCAGUCGUGGGGGAUAACGUAGCGAAAGCUACGCUAAUACCGCAUACGAUCUACGGAUGAAAGCGGGGGAUCGCAAGACCUCGCGCGAUUGGAGCGGCCGAUGGCAGAUUAGGUAGUUGGUAGGGGAAAGGCCUACCAAGCCGACGAUCUGUAGCUGGUCUGAGAGGACGACCAGCCACACGGGGACUGAGACACGGCCCAGACUCCUACGGGAGGCAGCAGUGGGGAAUUUUGGACAAUGGGCGAAAGCCUGAUCCAGCCAUUCCGCGUGCAGGAUGAAGGCCCUCGGGUUGUAAACUGCUUUUGUACAGAACGAAAAGGCUCUGGUUAAUACCUGGGGCUCAUGACGGUACUGUAAGAAUAAGCACCGGCUAACUACGUGCCAGCAGCCGCGGUAA